Molecule: transfer-messenger RNA, 402 nt
Filed under: Candidatus Omnitrophota
Lineage: Bacteria; Pseudomonadati
Also listed under: 1 other name
Description: 1-14-0-20-64-10 sp002787095 Standard tmRNA
Rfam family: transfer-messenger RNA
About the family: Bacterial tmRNA, also known as 10Sa RNA or SsrA, is named for its dual tRNA and mRNA-like properties.
Source: RNAcentral
GGGGGCGACACGGUUUCGACCGGAGUGACUGGGUCGAAUGUCGCGCGCCGAGGUUGCUCGGAGGCCUCGUAAAAAACCGGGCAAAAAGAUAAACGCCAAAAAUACGGUUAAGGGGAUUGCCCCGGUUGUGCCGAUUCGGCCGGCCGUGGUCCCCAUGGCUCUGGCUGCUUAAUAAGUAGCCCGUCCUCCUGCCCACGCCUGCUAGGCGGGAUGGACGACACAGCAGGCUGGCUGGAUCUCGUUUCCUCUGGGGGGUCCAGCGAGGAGCCGACUGGGGGAUAGUUCGUCGUGGACCCCGUCUGCGGGGGCCGCAGCGGACGAACUCAAAUCGCAGACUACGCGCGUAGUGGACGCGACUGGGUUGCUUUCGGCACGGGGGUUCGACUCCCCCCGCCUCCACCG